Long non-coding RNA from Asparagus officinalis (garden asparagus), 538 nucleotides. RefSeq lists it as uncharacterized. The record is from RefSeq and is a predicted model, not a curated record. The transcript is spliced from 3 exons. NCBI's taxonomy places the organism in Eukaryota, Viridiplantae, Streptophyta, Magnoliopsida, Asparagales, Asparagaceae.
AUUGUAAGAUGCUGGAGAUAAUCUUGUUAUAGUUGAUUUUUACUCCCCUGGAUGUGGAGGUUGCAAAGCUUUGCAUCCAAAGGCUCAGGCUUAAACCUGUGUUCCUAGAGGUAUGAGGUGGUGGGAGAAAACAAGCAAGCCAAACAUGAUGAGAUCAUAUCUACACAACAUCUUGUUGAUUCAUUGUUAGAUGCUAGAGAUAAUCUUGUUAUAGUUGAUUUUUACUCCCCUGGAUGGAGGUUGCAAAGCUUUGCAUCCAAAGAAUUAUAUCCAAAUGCGACAUUUCUCAUGGUUAACUAUGAAGAACGUAGAUCCAUGUGUCAAAGUCUACAUAUUGACGUACUACCUUUCUUCAGAUUCUAUGGAGGGGCUCGAGGCCGUGUCUCAAGCUUCAGUUGUACUAAUGCAACAGUAAGUCAUGAAUCAAAAUCUAUUCUUAUUGAUUCAAACAUUUUAGUUGCUUGAAAUUUAAUUCAAACAUUUUAGUUGCUUGAAAUUUAAUUUACAUUAUUUUCGAUGGUGUUUGCAGAUAAAUAAA